AACGAACGCUGGCGGCAUGCCUAACACAUGCAAGUCGAACGAGACCUUCGGGUCUAGUGGCGCACGGGUGCGUAACGCGUUGGAACCUGCCCUUAGGUUCGGAAUAACUCCCCGAAAGGGGUGCUAAUACCGGAUAAUGUCUUCGGACCAAGGAUUUAUCGCCUUUGGAUGGGCCCGCGUUGGAUUAGCUAGUUGGUAGGGUAAAAGCCUACCAAGGCGACGAUCCAUAGCUGGUCUGAGAGGAUGAUCAGCCACACUGGGACUGAGACACGGCCCAGACUCCUACGGGAGGCAGCAGUGGGGAAUAUUGGACAAUGGGCGAAAGCCUGAUCCAGCAAUGCCGCGUGAGUGAUGAAGGCCUUAGGGUUGUAAAGCUCUUUUACCCGGGAUGAUAAUGACAGUACCGGGAGAAUAAGCUCCGGCUAACUCCGUG
This 433-nucleotide ribosomal RNA is filed under the name uncultured bacterium. Its description in RNAcentral is "partial 16S ribosomal RNA". It matches the Rfam family "Bacterial small subunit ribosomal RNA", at positions 29 to 507 of the family's 1533-position model. The record is from RNAcentral.